This 467-nucleotide ribosomal RNA is filed under the name uncultured bacterium. RNAcentral describes it as "partial 16S ribosomal RNA". It matches the Rfam family "Bacterial small subunit ribosomal RNA", at positions 28 to 506 of the family's 1533-position model. The record is from RNAcentral.
GACGAACGCUGGCGGCGUGCUUAACACAUGCAAGUCGAACGGAAAGGCCCUGCUUUUGUGGGGUGCUCGAGUGGCGAACGGGUGAGUAACACGUGAGUAACCUGCCCUUGACUUUGGGAUAACUUCAGGAAACUGGGGCUAAUACCGGAUAGGAGCUCCUGCUGCAUGGUGGGGGUUGGAAAGUUUCGGCGGUUGGGGAUGGACUCGCGGCUUAUCAGCUUGUUGGUGGGGUAGUGGCUUACCAAGGCUUUGACGGGUAGCCGGCCUGAGAGGGUGACCGGCCACAUUGGGACUGAGAUACGGCCCAGACUCCUACGGGAGGCAGCAGUGGGGAAUAUUGCACAAGGGGCGGAAGCCUGAUGCAGCAACGCCGCGUGCGGGAUGACGGCCUUCGGGUGGUAAACCGCUUUCGCCUGUGACGAAGCGUGAGUGACGGUAAUGGGUAAAGAAGCACCGGCUAACUACGU